AGUGAACGCUGGCGGUAGGCCUAACACAUGCAAGUCGAACGGCAGCACAGUAAGAGCUUGCUCUUACGGGUGGCGAGUGGCGGACGGGUGAGGAAUACAUCGGAAUCUACUUUUUCGUGGGGGAUAGCGUAGGGAAACUUACGCUAAUACCGCAUACAACCUACGGGUGAAAGCAGGGGAUCUUCGGACCUUGCGCGAUUGAAUGAGCCGAUGUCGGAUUAGCUAGUUGGCGGGGUAAAGGCCCACCAAGGCGACGAUCCGUAGCUGGUCUGAGAGGAUGAUCAGCCACACUGGAACUGAGACACGGUCCAGACUCCUACGGGAGGCAGCAGUGGGGAAUAUUGGACAAUGGGCGCAAGCCUGAUCCAGCCAUACCGCGUGGGUGAAGAAGGCCUUCGGGUUGUAAAGCCCUUUUGUUGGGAAAGAAAAGCAGCAGGUUAAUACCCCGCUGUUCUGACGGUACCCAAAGAAUAAGCACCGGCUAACUUCGUG
RNAcentral lists this ribosomal RNA (492 nucleotides) under uncultured bacterium. RNAcentral describes it as "partial 16S ribosomal RNA". It matches the Rfam family "Bacterial small subunit ribosomal RNA", at positions 29 to 507 of the family's 1533-position model. The record is from RNAcentral.